CUCAGGAGCCAGGGACAAAGGGCAGUCAAAUUCUUUAUUACACACCAUUAGGGAAGGAAGUUUCUGAACAUAGAAAAUGAAAGUUUUAAGGGGCCAUAAAUAGGAGACAGCCACAGCCUCCUACAGAUCCACACACACUCAUGGACCCUCAGUCUUCCAAGGACUCCCUCGCCCUCAUGAUCAUGAUCCCUCUCCUGCUUGCUCUCCCCAUCCAACCUCACACACAGUCUCACAGACUCCACACAAGCAGAAGGCCUCCUGCACACCCAUGCACACCUGCUGCUCCCAGGGACUCUCCUCAUUUGUCCAUCUCUGCUCAUCCUCCAUGGCCUCUUGUGUGUGUGGCAACACUCCUCUUCUCAGCAUAUUGGUUUUCUUGCCAUGAAUUCACCACACUGAAAGGCAGCCUCUAGACCAGCCCUGGAUGGAUUGCACAAACUGGAGACUGCGGAAGACCUCUGCCAAGGAAAGCCUGGCCCUCCCCAGUCCUGUCUGCCCCCUCUGAGCCCCGUCUAAGAUUACAGCCCAUGGCCCUUCCUCUCCUUCCUUUCCCAGAGCAAGAGCCACAGCAGUUAGCCCAUGAGAGUGCCAGAGACAGCCCUGGCCUGAGGAACCAAGGACCAGAAGGGAAGACCAGGCCUCUAGUUCCUCGGCACCAGACCUGACCCAGCC
This 672-nucleotide long non-coding RNA is filed under the name Gorilla gorilla gorilla (western lowland gorilla). RNAcentral's name for it is "lncRNA (ENSGGOG00000044633.1)". Lineage: Eukaryota; Metazoa; Chordata; Mammalia; Primates; Hominidae. The record is from RNAcentral.